RNAcentral lists this ribosomal RNA (390 nucleotides) under uncultured bacterium. RNAcentral describes it as "bacterial SSU rRNA". It matches the Rfam family "Bacterial small subunit ribosomal RNA", at positions 28 to 420 of the family's 1533-position model. The record is from RNAcentral.
GACGAACGCUGGCGGCGUGCUUAACACAUGCAAGUCGAACGCUGAUCCACUUUCGGGUGGUGAUGAGUGGCGAACGGGUGAGUAACACGUGGGUAAUCUGCCCUGCACUCUGGGAUAAGCCUUGGAAACGGGGUCUAAUACCGGAUAUCACACUCUUGGGCAUCCAGGGGUGUUGAAAGUUCUGGCGGUGCAGGAUGAACCCGCGGCCUAUCAGCUUGUUGGUGGGGUAANAGCCUACCAAGGCGACGACGGGUAGCCGGCCUGAGAGGGUGACCGGCCACACUGGGACUGAGACACGGCCCAGACUCCUACGGGAGGCAGCAGUGGGGAAUAUUGCACAAUGGGCGAAAGCCUGAUGCAGCGACGCCGCGUGAGGGAUGACGGCCUGGU